UCAUCUUCGGGGGUAGAGCACUGUUUCGGCUAGGGGGUCAUCCCGACUUACCAACCCGAUGCAAACUACGAAUACCGAAGAAUGUUAUCACGGGAGACACACGGCGGGUGCUAACGUCCGUCGUGAAGAGGGAAACAACCCAGACCGCCAGCUAAGGUCCCAAAGUCAUGGUUAAGUGGGAAACGAUGUGGGAAGGCACAGACAGCCAGGAUGUUGGCUUAGAAGCAGCCAUCAUUUAAAGAAAGCGUAAUAGCUCACUGGUCGAGUCGGCCUGCGCGGAAGAUGUAACGGGGCUAAACCAUGCACCGAAGCUGCGGCAGCGACACUAUGUGUUGUUGGGUAGGGGAGCGUUCUGUAAGCCUGCGAAGGUGACCUGUGAGGGUUGCUGGAGGUAUCAGAAGUGCGAAUGCUGACAUAAGUAACGAUAAAGCGGGUGAAAAGCCCGCUCGCCGGAAGACCAAGGGUUCCUGUCCAACGUUAAUCGGGGCAGGGUGAGUCGACCCCUAAGGCGAGGCCGAAAGGCGUAGUCGAUGGGAAACAGGUUAAUAUUCCUGUACUUGGUGUUACUGCGAAGGGGGGACGGAGAAGGCUAUGUUAGCCGGGCGACGGUUGUCCCGGUUUAAGCAUGUAGGCUGGUUAUCCAGGCAAAUCCGGAUAAUCAAGGCUGAGGUGUGAUGACGAGGCACUACGGUGCUGAAGUAACAAAUGCCCUGCUUCCAGGAAAAGCCUCUAAGCAUCAGGUAACAUCAAAUCGUACCCCAAACCGACACAGGUGGUCAGGUAGAGAAUACCAAGGCGCUUGAGAGAACUCGGGUGAAGGAACUAGGCAAAAUGGUGCCGUAACUUCGGGAGAAGGCACGCUGGUGUGUAGGUGAAGUCCCUGCGGAUGGAGCUGAGACCAGUCGAAGAUACCAGCUGGCUGCAACUGUUUAUUAAAAACACAGCACUGUGCAAACACGAAAGUGGACGUAUACGGUGUGAC
This 982-nucleotide ribosomal RNA is filed under the name Klebsiella pneumoniae. RNAcentral describes it as "partial 23S ribosomal RNA". It matches the Rfam family "Bacterial large subunit ribosomal RNA", at positions 890 to 1856 of the family's 2925-position model. Lineage: Bacteria; Pseudomonadati; Pseudomonadota; Gammaproteobacteria; Enterobacterales; Enterobacteriaceae. The record is from RNAcentral.